This 497-nucleotide ribosomal RNA is filed under the name uncultured bacterium. RNAcentral describes it as "partial 16S ribosomal RNA". It matches the Rfam family "Bacterial small subunit ribosomal RNA", at positions 28 to 507 of the family's 1533-position model. The record is from RNAcentral.
GACGAACGCUGGCGGCGUGCCUAAUACAUGCAAGUUGAGCGCUGAAGGUUGGUACUUGUACCAACUGGAUGAGCAGCGAACGGGUGAGUAACGCGUGGGGAAUCUGCCUUUGAGCGGGGGACAACAUUUGGAAACGAAUGCUAAUACCGCAUAAAAACUUUAAACACAAGUUUUAAGUUUGAAAGAUGCAAUUGCAUCACUCAAAGAUGAUCCCGCGUUGUAUUAGCUAGUUGGUGAGGUAAAGGCUCACCAAGGCGAUGAUACAUAGCCGACCUGAGAGGGUGAUCGGCCACAUUGGGACUGAGACACGGCCCAAACUCCUACGGGAGGCAGCAGUAGGGAAUCUUCGGCAAUGGACGAAAGUCUGACCGAGCAACGCCGCGUGAGUGAAGAAGGUUUUCGGGUCGUAAAACUCUGUUGGUAGAGAAGAACGUUGGUGAGAGUGGAAAGCUCAUCAAGUGACGGUAACUACCCAGAAAGGGGCGGCUAACUACGUG